AUGCAUAGCCGACCUGAGAGGGUGAUCGGCCACAUUGGGACUGAGACACGGCCCAAACUCCUACGGGAGGCAGCAGUAGGGAAUCUUCGGCAAUGGACGAAAGUCUGACCGAGCAACGCCGCGUGAGUGAAGAAGGUUUUCGGAUCGUAAAACUCUGUUGUUAGAGAAGAACAAGGAUGAGAGUAACUGUUCAUCCCUUGACGGUAUCUAACCAGAAAGCCACGGCUAACUACGUGCCAGCAGCCGCGGUAAUACGUAGGUGGCAAGCGUUGUCCGGAUUUAUUGGGCGUAAAGCGAGCGCAGGCGGUUUCUUAAGUCUGAUGUGAAAGCCCCCGGCUCAACCGGGGAGGGUCAUUGGAAACUGGGAGACUUGAGUGCAGAAGAGGAGAGUGGAAUUCCAUGUG
This 404-nucleotide ribosomal RNA is filed under the name uncultured Bacilli bacterium. RNAcentral's name for it is "bacterial SSU rRNA". It matches the Rfam family "Bacterial small subunit ribosomal RNA", at positions 279 to 675 of the family's 1533-position model. The record is from RNAcentral. Lineage: Bacteria; Bacillati; Bacillota; Bacilli.